CAGGACCUCUUUGCCUAUCCUCCACCUCUGCCCUGCAUGUGAGUGUGUAUAUAGAUGUGGAGAUACACACACUUCAAGUGCCCAAGAAGUCAUCAAUGGAAGGAGGAACCAUUAUUUUCAUACGUCACUAAGAAGUAAAGGUGCCACAGACAAGGAGUGUAGUGGAAGACCCCUACGUAAGAGCAGCUUUGCUGUUGUCCCCAGUGACUCCCAGGGCUGCCAGUGCUGCACCAGGAAUCACUGGCCUUCGGUGAUGCUACCAUUCCUCACUUUCGUGUAUCACUCUGCAAUCUACAAAUGUUUCUUAUCCAUCAACUCAGUUGACCAGUUGUGAUAUGAAAUGGAUGGGACAGAUAUUGGUCCUGUUUUACCAGGGUUGUGCCUGCAGCUCAGAGAGGUUAGAUCUGCUCCGGGGCCACCAGCAAGGGCUGAGACUGAACUCAUUCUGCUGGGACCCUGCCUGCUCUGCUGUCCCCCGAGGGCACAGCCCACAGGACCUACAGAAGGGUCUGCACCUGCAGGAGCGUGUGAGGGAGACCUUCUCUAACAAAGGACAAUUUAUGACCCAGCUGCAGUGAUGGGAAUUCAAGCCCACUCAACAUGUUCACAUUCAAAAAAUCAAGCCCAAAGAUGUGCUGCAGAGCCAGAGACGCUGGGAGAGGCAGCGUGGAGGAGACCACCGGAGCCAGGUGGGGGAUGGCAACUGAUCUGGAGGCAGUGCAGGCAUCGUUCAGGUGAAUGAG
Long non-coding RNA from Cebus imitator (Panamanian white-faced capuchin), 743 nucleotides. RefSeq lists it as uncharacterized. The record is from RefSeq and is a predicted model, not a curated record. The transcript is spliced from 5 exons. Lineage: Eukaryota; Metazoa; Chordata; Mammalia; Primates; Cebidae.